Ananas comosus (pineapple) is the source of this 384-nucleotide long non-coding RNA. RefSeq lists it as uncharacterized. The record is from RefSeq and is a predicted model, not a curated record. NCBI's taxonomy places the organism in Eukaryota, Viridiplantae, Streptophyta, Magnoliopsida, Poales, Bromeliaceae. The transcript is spliced from 3 exons.
UACGGUUGCAGUCGUAGCAUCGUGAGGAGUUCGAGCGAGGGCAUGGUUUUCGCCGUCCUCGACGUCGCACCGGCGCUGGAUUCGCUGUCGAGCGUCGACCGUCAGUGUUUCGGCUCGUACUCGGCGUAGGAACGUCGGAUUUCGACGGGACUUGGUUCAUUGGAUUCAGGACUUCGAGAGGAAUCCACGAAGCCCUUAUUUGCUGGAUUUGUUGAAGGGCGAUUUCGAACUUGAGCUGGACACCCUGGUUUUUUCAGUGGAUUUGGGGAUUUUUGGUGACCUCCUCGCUGCCGGGGUUUAGCGAUCGAGGUGGGUUACAUCGAUUUUUACUCCUAAGUUCUAAUCGUCAACAUGUAUAAAUCUCGAUUUUUAGUAUAGUCUAUU